UAUAUACUCCCUCCGUCCGGAAAUACUUGUCAGACAAAUGGAUGUAUCUAGAUGUAUUUUAGUUGUAGAUACAUCUAUUUUUAUCCAUUUCUCCGACAAGUAUUUUGGGACGGAGGGAGUACAUA
Non-coding RNA from Triticum aestivum (bread wheat), 125 nucleotides. NCBI's taxonomy places the organism in Eukaryota, Viridiplantae, Streptophyta, Magnoliopsida, Poales, Poaceae. The record is from Rfam.